AUGACUCAACAUUUUGUGCACACGCGUAUGUGUGUGUGUGUGUGUGUGUGUGUGUGCGUGUGUGUGUGCAUCUGUGUUGUGUGUGGGUGUGUGUGUUGACUCAUGAGGUCAAGGUCCACAUUUCAAGCCUGAUGUCACUUAUCACUGACUAAUCCUCUGAAACAUUCAGAGGGCGGGAAGCAGUCGGGAACUGGAGGGAAACUUUGUGAGACACCUUGCUCAGUGUGUGUGCGUGUGUGUGUGUGUCUCUGGUACGCAAUCCUGUAGUAAAUGACAUUUGUGGUUUGUGCUAAAAAUAGGGUUGGGUAUCGAGUAUCGAGUAUGGAUUGGAACCGGGACUAACUUUAAGAUUCUCCCAGAAUCGUUCAAAAGUUGAAAUUUCGAUUCCUAGUUUCGAUACCCAGUCCACCGACCGGAAGAUUAAAAAAAGUCCGCCGACCGGAAGAAGAAGCCGCCCAACACCAACGAAGAAGCGCCCACCGCUGGAAGUGUUAGCAUAGCCGAGCCUAUGUAGCCGAGCGAGUCAGUCAAGCAUGGAUAGCGGGCGUCGGCGGUCGAAAGUAUGGCUUUAUUUUACUAAAAAAACAUGAAAUAUCGGUGAAAUAUAACACGUGCAACAGGACUGUUUCGUGCUUUGGAGGGUGCACGUCGAACAUGAUGAAGCACCUCCGAGACCAUUGAGUACAAAUAAAUGCGUGUCCCGUCUUCGUCCUCCUCUGCCUGGCACCUCGGUGACUGCACAGCAGUCCGAAUCCGGCAAUUUACAACCUGCUAGCCAGGCUCCGCCAUGUGCUCAGCGUACUCCGUUCACCGUAGCGGCAAUGGGGAAGACGUCGGUGCCACAGACGGAAGAGUGCCACAGAAAGGUCACUGCACACAUAGUCAAAAGACUCCAACAUUUAGGGAUAUGGUGAAAACUCUCAACCCAAAAUACGUACCACUUUCCAGGGACUACCUGGCAAACACAUUGAUCCCGGCACGGUACAAGAAGAAUCGGAAUCGAGAAUCGUCAGGAAUCGGAAUCGAAACAAAGAAUCGGAAUCGGAAUCGUUCGAAUUCAAACGAUACCCCACCCUAGUUAAAAAUGCUCGGGACGACAUGAUAGCAUUAGCGAUACCAAUAUUUUGGUGCCGCUCCGGGUAUUUCAAUACUUUUCGAUACUUUUCAAAAUAAAGGGCGCCAGAAAAUCUUAUGAUACAUUACAAUUGCGUUUUUUAGUAGUCAAAGAACAAUUUGGGCAUUAAAUAAGAUAGUGAACAUACAAGACAACAUCUAUUUUAGUAGUAAGUAAGCAAACAAAGGCUCCUGAUUAACCUGCUGACAUAUGCCGUGACAUAUUGUGUAAUUUAUCAUUCCAUUUUUUUGUCAAAAUAAUGAGGGACAAACGGUAGAAAAUUUCUUAUUUAUCUACUUCUUCAUUUACUUUUAUCCAUCCAUCCAUCUAUUUCCUACUGCUUAUUCCCUUUGGGGUCGCGGGGGACGCUGGUGCCUAUCUCAGCUACAAUCGGGCGGAAGGCGGCGUACACCCUGGACAAGUCGCCACCACAUCGCAGGGCCCAUUUACUGUUAAUAUCUGCUUAUUUUUUGUUUUAACAUUUUUUUUAUAUGAUUAUGUUAAAAUGUAAUAAUCACUUAUUUGUUGUGUUUUGUCAUUUCCCUGCCUUCUCUUUUUUAUGGUGUCUGUUUUCUUCUGUUAAUUAGUCUCCAGCGAGACACACCUGCAACAAAUCCCUACCUAGGUGUAGUUAAGCUCGUCACAGACAGCUGGGUCCUGUCAGUUAUUUUCUCCUGCACCUCCCACGUGCAUGCGCCUGCUUCACUUCGUCAAUCCUGGUAUGUUGUCUCUCCUUAUUCCUGAAAUUCCUCACUUCUUUGUGCUUGCUUCCUAGCCUCCCUGAGGUAAAGAGGAUUUUGUGUUGGAACUUUUGUUGUGCUCAGUGCGCCCUGGGCUCUUCCCCUGCUGACCACUGAGGGACCUGUUUUUGUUUGUUUAUUCAUGGUGUGCACUUCUGCCCCAUCGCCUUUUGCACCUCCUUGACCAAUUCCUAAGAUAAUUUUUCUGUUGUUUGAGACUUUACAUUAGUUUUGGGUGAUACUACAAAUAUUUCUAAGGACCCGAUACCAGGUAGCUACGGGAUCAUGCAUUGGUCAUAAUUAAAAUUCUCUUGUGUCCAGGGACAUAUUUACUUAAUAAACAAUACAAAAAAUGGCAAAAGGUUCUGCGAUAAUAGAAAAUGUUGUAAUUAUUGUCCAUACAGCUUUUUUACUUGGUAUCUUUAUAGUUGAUAUUUGUAUAGAUCCACACAUGGCAUUUGUUUACAUUCAGGAGUGCUAGAUUACCAUGAAUUGAUUUACCUGCACCCCGACUUAAACAAGUUGAAAAACGUAUUUGGGUGUUACCAUUUAGUGGUCAAUUGUACGGAAUAUGUACUGUACUGUGCAAUCUACUAAUAAAAGUUUCAAUCAAUCAAUCAAUCAAUCAAUCAAUCAAUCAAUCAA
Nerophis ophidion (straightnose pipefish) is the source of this 2499-nucleotide long non-coding RNA. RefSeq lists it as uncharacterized. NCBI's taxonomy places the organism in Eukaryota, Metazoa, Chordata, Actinopteri, Syngnathiformes, Syngnathidae. The record is from RefSeq and is a predicted model, not a curated record. The transcript has 3 exons.